This 435-nucleotide ribosomal RNA is filed under the name Polistes poeyi haitiensis. RNAcentral describes it as "partial 16S ribosomal RNA". Lineage: Eukaryota; Metazoa; Arthropoda; Insecta; Hymenoptera; Vespidae. The record is from RNAcentral.
GUCUUAUUGAAUAUAAAUGAUAAGUUUAUUCUGCCCAUUGAAUAAAAUUUAAAAGGCUGCAGUAUAUUGACUGUACAAAGGUAGCAAAAUCAAUAGUUUUUUAAUUGAAAACUUGAAUGAAAGAAUUGAUAAAAUAUAAACUGUCUCAAAUUAAUUUAUUUUGAAUUUAAAUUAAAAGUUAAAAUGCUUUUAUAAAUUUAUUAGACGAUAAGACCCUAAGAAUUUGAAAAUGUAAUUUAUAAAAUUAAUUUUGUAAUUUUUUAUUUUAUAAAUUUGUAUUUUUUUAUUGGGAGGGUAAUUAAAUUUUUAAACUUUAAUUUUAUAUAAACAAAGAUAAAUGAAUAUUGAUGAUAAUUUUUAUAAUUAUAAGAAUUAAUUACCUUAGGGAUAACAGCGUAAUAAUUUUGGAAAGUUCAUAUUAAUAAAAUUGAUUGC